GUGUCAGCAGCCGCGGUAAUACGGGGGGAGCAAGCGUUGUUCGGAUUUACUGGGCGUAAAGGGCGCGUAGGCGGCCACCGCAAGUCGAUUGUGAAAUCUCCGGGCUUAACCCGGAAAGGUCAACCGAUACUGCGGGGCUAGAGUGCAGAAGGGGCAACUGGAAUUCUCGGUGUAGCGGUGAAAUGCGUAGAUAUCGAGAGGAACACCUGCGGCGAAGGCGGGUUGCUGGGCUGACACUGACGCUGAGUGCGCGAAAGCUAGGGGAGCGAACGGGAUUAGAUACCCCGGUAGUCCUAGCCUUAAACGAUGAAUGCUUGGUGUCUGGGGUUAUAUAGUCCCCGGGUGCCGUCGCUAACGCUUUAAGCAUUCCGCCUGGGGAGUACGGUCGCAAGACUGAA
RNAcentral lists this ribosomal RNA (398 nucleotides) under uncultured bacterium. RNAcentral describes it as "bacterial SSU rRNA". It matches the Rfam family "Bacterial small subunit ribosomal RNA", at positions 505 to 898 of the family's 1533-position model. The record is from RNAcentral.